RNAcentral lists this ribosomal RNA (253 nucleotides) under uncultured bacterium. RNAcentral describes it as "partial 16S ribosomal RNA". It matches the Rfam family "Bacterial small subunit ribosomal RNA", at positions 524 to 776 of the family's 1533-position model. The record is from RNAcentral.
UACAGAGGUCCCAAGCGUUGUUCGGAUUCACUGGGCGUAAAGAGCGUGUAGGCGGCCUGGUAGGUCUGCUGUGAAAACUCGAGGCUCAACCUCGAGAUGUCGGCGGAAACCAUCUGGCUAGAGUCCGGAAGAGGAGAGUGGAAUUCCUGGUGUAGCGGUGAAAUGCGCAGAUAUCAGGAAGAACACCUAUGGCGAAGGCAGCUCUCUGGGACGGUACUGACGCUGAGACGCGAAAGCGUGGGGAGCGAACAGG